UAGUCCACGCCGUAAACUAUGGACACUUGGUGUUGGAGGUAUUGACCCCUUCAGUGCCGGAGCUAACGCGUUAAGUGUCCCGCCUGGGGAGUACGGUCGCAAGAUUAAAACUCAAAGAAAUUGACGGGGGCCCGCACAAGCGGUGGAGCAUGUGGUUUAAUUCGAUGAUACGCGAGGAACCUUACCUAGGCUCGAACGCUGUUUGCCGUUACUUGAAAGAGUAAUUUCCUUCGGGACGGAUAGUGAGGUGCUGCAUGGUUGUCGUCAGCUCGUGCCGUGAGGUGUUGGGUUAAGUCCCGUAACGAGCGCAACCCCUAUUGUUAGUUGCCAGCAUUUAAGGUGGGACUCUAGCAAGACUGCCGGCGUAAGCCGCGAGGAAGGUGGGGACGACGGUCAAAUCAUCAUGGCCUUUAUGCCUAGGGGCUACACACGUGCUACAAUGGUCGGGUACAACGGGGCAGCGAACCUGCGAAGGGGAGCAAAUCUUGUAAANCCGAUCUUAGUCGGGAUUGGGAGUCUGCAACUCGACUCC
Molecule: ribosomal RNA, 532 nt
Filed under: uncultured bacterium
Lineage: Bacteria
Description: bacterial SSU rRNA
Rfam family: Bacterial small subunit ribosomal RNA
Source: RNAcentral